This 2472-nucleotide long non-coding RNA is filed under the name Hordeum vulgare. RNAcentral's name for it is "long non-coding RNA (HVUL_LNC013399)". The record is from RNAcentral. Lineage: Eukaryota; Viridiplantae; Streptophyta; Magnoliopsida; Poales; Poaceae.
UUUUUGUCAGUUAAGAUUAAUUAGCUGAAUCUUAAAUACAUAUUCCUUUCGAGCAAGUGAAUGAUGAUCGCUAGAUUGCCCAUGCCGAUGGACACCACCCCACUCACCGGCAGUGUCAACUCCGCUUACUCCAUCAGCGCCACCGCCGCCCGACUAUGCAUAUCGCCACCACCACAAUCACCAUCCCAGUAGCUGGGCAAGGACCGAUGGAUCCCUGGUGUUGGAUGGAGAAGCUAGACGUACAUGGUGACAACAUCACCGGUUUCCAUGCGGGCUUGAAAAGCACGUGAUAAGAUGAUUGGUUAUCAUGCUCAUGUGACUUCCUCCCCAUCCCUGCUCCUCACUGAUUUAUUUCUGGUCGUUAAUGGUCAGUGGUUGCAGAGACCGGCGCAGGAAUCAAAAUAACGUCGUCGAGGUGGAGUUAUUUUGAUCUGCGAUAAUUUUGGACUUCAGGAGGAACUAGGGGAGCAGGGCAUGNNNGGAUCGAUGUGAGGUUCAGGUAUAUGAGCAUUGAUUUUUUUUGGUAUGACAAAAAGCAUUUUUCUCGCUUUCAUCAAAAUAUAAGCUAUAGUAGUGUGUAAUCAAGAAAAGCAAUUUUUAUCACUUGCAGCAGAUGCAUUGGGUAUUUCAUUCCUUAAUUAGUGCACACUUAAAUUCUCUUGUUGCACCUAAUUAAGUUUUGGGCAUUUGUUAAUUUUUCUCAAGUAGUCUGUUCUACUAUUCCAAAAACUGCAACAUGUGUCAACCCGCUUUCUUUUGUUCUUUAGAUUAAGCNNNNNNNNNNNNNNNNNNNNNNNNNNNNNNNNNNNNNNNNNNNNNNNNNNNNNNNNNNNNNNNNNNNNGUAACCCUUUGCAUUCAAGAAAAAGUCACAGAAUUUCUAUCUAAAUCUAUCUGAGAUUAAGAGGUUGUCUUGUCGCCGAUUCAUCUUGAGUUAUCGUUCUUCCACAACGAAGGUGAGCAGUGUUAAUUACCUUCAUUGGAAGGUACGUGCGCAUGAACACUUUAGUUCAUCCCCCAUUUGGAUAUUCCACUCUUCAGUUCCACGAACCUCACGGGACUAAUACCGUUUAAGUGGAAGUUAUCUCAGGUGCAAAAGUAACUUUGCCACUAACUUUACCCCUAUUAAGUAAGUGCAGAUGGUAUGUUUCUGCAUGAAUGCAGUUUGAUAGUACUCAACAACCAUACCAAACAGUUAAAAAUAUCAAGAUUAUAGUAACAAAAAAUGACAACAAUGUUUACUACAGUAUACCUUUUUCACUAUGAGGUAAAGGACAUGGACUAACAAGUCCAUGAUCUGCAUUGCCGUUUCUAUUGCAGAUGGCCAAAGUUAUUAGUCUCCAACCAAAUUGGAAGCGAAAACCAAAGCAUGUGUGCAAGAUUUUUAUAGAAACUCCCAAGCCCUUCCACAAUGAGAUCACUGGACAUAAUAAAUAAAGUAUGGGUUGAUUACAGAAUGAACCACCGAAAACCGUCCCCAAAUGUUUUCUCUUCUCAUCCAUAUGUCGCCCUGUCCAUAUUUAUCUCAAUAAGUGGUCGUUUGUGGGAUGUUCUAAAUCCUUUCACAGAAAAUAAUGUAGGCCUAACACCUGAGUACCUAUUUUAGCGACACUUGUAGUUUUGGACUAAGCCGUGAGGGAGUUCCACAGCUCUCCUGCUACUCUCAUCCACUUUGGCUUGCUCUUAUUUACCAAUUCUUACUAUUUUUUACCUUUUUAACUAACAGAACCGUGCUAUGUUUGUUGGCACAGGACGUACAUUCUGGGCACAGCGAUUCUCAGUUCUUGGGGUUCUUGUACGAGGGGUACAUCAUUACAGAAGAUAUGGAGGGAGCAUGCCACUCUAAAGCACGAGGUCCAUUCAUAUUUUCAUCAUGGUUCACCGUAAAUUAUUGUGUUUGUUAUAUCUCUUGGCAAAACAAUCAUAUGUAUUUAAUAUUUACUACCUACACCUGCUGAUACAAUUUAUUGUUUUUGUUGGCCCAUGUGCGUAAGUAGAAUACACCAUGGGUCUGUUUGGUUGAAGACUAAUUUUGUCAAGCCAAAGUGUGGCAAGCCAUCAAAGUGUGGUAAGCCACAAAGUGUGGCUGAAAAAACGAAUGCCAAACUUUGGCAAAAGUUGGUAAAAAAUGUAACUCUAUGACAAAUGGGCCAUAGGGAUAAUAAAGUGUGGCAAGCCAAAGUGUGGCAAAAACCAAACAUAUGUCAACUAAACUGUGGCUGCCAAAUUUUGGCUUGGCAAAGUGUGGCUGGGAACCAAACAGGCCCUAUGUAAGUGUAAUGUAUUAUCACUGGCACCAACAUUCAAACAACACCUCCCUUCUCCCCCACUCACUAUUGUUAAGGAUCUACAUAUUGUAGGCCAACCCGGGCGACAAGGGAUAAUGGAGGAAUAAAAUAUGUAAAGGCAUGGAUGGAGGUGCUUGAGGUUUGCAUCAUGCAAACAACUCGUGGCUGCACGGAUCUAUAUGUAUA